CUAAGAAUCUUCCGCAAUGGGGGAAACCCUGACGGAGCGACGCCGCGUGGACGAUGAAGGCCGUAAGGUUGUAAAGUCCUUUUGCAGGUGAGGAAUAAGCCGGGGAGUGGAAUGCCUUGGUGAUGACUUUAGCCUGCGAAUAAGCCCCGGCCAAUUACGUGCCAGCAGCCGCGGUAAUCCGUCUGGGGCGGGCGUUGUUCGGAGUUAUUGGGCGUAAAGGGCGUGUAGGCGGCUCGAGAAGUCUGGUGUGAAAUCGCAGGGCUCAACCCUGCGGGUGCGCUGGAAACUGACGUGCUUGAGUCCCGGGGGGGAAGCUGGAAUUCCUGGUGUAGGAGUGAAAUCUGUAGAGAUCAGGAAGAACACCGGUGGCGAAGGCGAGCUUCUAUUCGAGGACUGACGCUGAGGCGCGAAAGCGUGGGGAGCAAACAG
Molecule: ribosomal RNA, 429 nt
Filed under: uncultured bacterium
Lineage: Bacteria
Description: bacterial SSU rRNA
Rfam family: Bacterial small subunit ribosomal RNA
Source: RNAcentral